AUACGGAGGGUGCAAGCGUUAAUCGGAAUUACUGGGCGUAAAGCGUGCGCAGGCGGUUUGUUAAGUCAGAUGUGAAAGCCCCGGGCUCAACCUGGGAACUGCAUUUGAAACUGGCAAACUAGAGUGUGGUAGAGGGAAGUGGAAUUCCUCAUGUAGCGGUGAAAUGCGUAGAUAUGAGGAGGAACACCAGUGGCGAAGGCGACUUCCUGGACCAACACUGACGCUCAUGUACGAAAGCGUGGGUAGCAAACAGGAUUAGAAACCCCUGUAGUCC
Molecule: ribosomal RNA, 274 nt
Filed under: uncultured bacterium
Lineage: Bacteria
Description: partial 16S ribosomal RNA
Rfam family: Bacterial small subunit ribosomal RNA
Source: RNAcentral